CCAGUGUGCCUGGUGCUGGGGGGAUGGGUGGGGGCUAGGGGUGGUGUGUGUGUUUGGGGGCUUUUAAUCACAGGUGUAAUUGAUCACAUUAAUUAUGGCCCUGAUCCAUUGAAGCCUGGUUUAGAGCAUGCUGGCUCACUGAAAUGGCGUGAUACAGUAAAUAGUGUGCGUGUGUGUGUGUGUGUGUGUGGGUGUGUUAGUCAGCCUGCUCUGAUUGGCUAAUGUGAAUCAGCUGUCUAGCAGCAAUCUGAAGUUGACCACUGCUGCAGUGGGGCAGUUUAUAAUAGGAGUUAACCAGAGACGUACAUGUCAUAAAAGUACUUCUACGACAGAAACCGUGACUCCUAUCGCUUAGAUUGUUCAUGAGACCAGUUAGGAGUCUCUGAUGAACAAAUGGUGCGACAUUUGGGUCUGUAGUUUCAAAAAUGUGACCUCGGCGGCAGUUUCGAAAAGUAGUAACUUUUUUCUCUGAUCCAAAAAAUUCUGUGAAAUUUAAUAUGGGGCCCUAUGGGAGCGAAGCCUGCAGUUGCUCUCACGUUCAGGCAUGUGUCGCCAAAUGUGUAAGUCCGACUGAUUCCAUAGCUACAUGUUUGCGACCGGCACAAAAAUACCUACGUUUUGAUGUAUUAAUUGUGUAUGAGGAGUGGACGUUGUGGGCUACAGAGCAAUUUGUUCGGAAAAU
Sebastes umbrosus (honeycomb rockfish) is the source of this 682-nucleotide long non-coding RNA. RefSeq lists it as uncharacterized. The record is from RefSeq and is a predicted model, not a curated record. Lineage: Eukaryota; Metazoa; Chordata; Actinopteri; Perciformes; Sebastidae. The transcript is spliced from 2 exons.